This 465-nucleotide ribosomal RNA is filed under the name uncultured bacterium. Its description in RNAcentral is "bacterial SSU rRNA". It matches the Rfam family "Bacterial small subunit ribosomal RNA", at positions 331 to 793 of the family's 1533-position model. The record is from RNAcentral.
CCAGACUCCUACGGGAGGCAGCAGUGAGGAAUAUUGGUCAAUGGGCUUACGCCUGAACCAGCCAAGUCGCGUGAGGGAAGACUGCCCUAUGGGUUGUAAACCUCUUUUGCCGGGGAGCAAGCGUGCGUUCGUGAACGCGCGUCGAGAGUACCCGGAGAAAAAGCAUCGGCUAACUCCGUGCCAGCAGCCGCGGUAAUACGGAGGAUGCGAGCGUUAUCCGGAUUUAUUGGGUUUAAAGGGUGCGUAGGCGGACGCUUAAGUCAGCGGUAAAAUUGCGGGGCUCAACCUCGUCGAGCCGUUGAAACUGGGUGCCUUGAGUGGGCGAGAAGUACGCGGAAUGCGUGGUGUAGCGGUGAAAUGCAUAGAUAUCACGCAGAACUCCGAUUGCGAAGGCAGCGUACCGGCGCCCAACUGACGCUGAAGCACGAAGGCGUGGGUAUCGAACAGGAUUAGAUACCCCCGUAA